AUGGCCUGGGAUCCAUUUGUGCUUGUCUUCCUUGCUCACUGCACAGGCUCUUGGGCUGAGAUUGUGUUCACUCAACCCCAGUCUGUGUCAGGGUCUCCUGGCAAGACAAUCAGCAUCUCCUGUACACACAGCAGUGGCAGCAUUGACAACAACUAUGUGUCCUGGUACCGACAGCACCCUUUGAGUGCCCCAAAGAUUCUAAUCUACAAAUACAAUCAAAGACCCACUGGGAUUCCCAACCGGUUCUCUGGAUCCAAAGACAGCUCCUCCAACUCUGCCUCCCUGACUAUGUCUGGGCUGCAGCCUGAGCAUAAGGCUGAUUACCACUGUCUGUCUGGUUAUGAACUCCAAGAACAGGAUGUUGUCCAAUCAAGACAUAUAACUUUGAAGUUCAUCACCUGCACCCUAAGGGAACUCUGGACAUCAGGGGAUGCUGGGGAACUGUUCCUGGCACUUCAUGGUGUUUUGGAGAUGUGA
Castor canadensis (American beaver) is the source of this 477-nucleotide non-coding RNA. Lineage: Eukaryota; Metazoa; Chordata; Mammalia; Rodentia; Castoridae. The record is from the annotation of a RefSeq genome assembly.